Molecule: long non-coding RNA, 433 nt
Organism: Amblyraja radiata (thorny skate)
Lineage: Eukaryota; Metazoa; Chordata; Chondrichthyes; Rajiformes; Rajidae
Exons: 3
Source: RefSeq, a predicted model, not a curated record
AGUGUUUUUAAGAGGCCCAUGAUCUCCAGGGACUGGAUCCCAUGUUGCUGGAAGUGUCUGCUAAUGGGUAUGGAUUGGUCCCCCCUUGUGAUGUUGCUGAGGUGUCCUGUCAGUCUCACUCUGAUGCUGUUGUCUGUUUCGCCUAUGUACAGUAAGUUGCACUCUUUACAUCUAAUUGCAUACACCACAUUCUUUUGCUCACAGGUUAUCCUCUGCGCUAUCUGGCCUCUCUUCCCUGUUACACUGUUCUCUAUAUUUUUGGCUAUUACUAAGUGGGUGCAGGCCCCACACCGUCUCUGCCCACAAUCUGGGGCUGUGUGUAGACUUGUACUGACCAGGAUGUCCUUCAGAUUUUUAGCCCUCUUGAAUGCUGACAUUACCUUGUACCCCUUUAGUGUGGCAAAUCCCCUUUGGAAUUGUUCAAACUGGCCCU